Triticum urartu is the source of this 2725-nucleotide long non-coding RNA. RefSeq lists it as uncharacterized. The record is from RefSeq and is a predicted model, not a curated record. NCBI's taxonomy places the organism in Eukaryota, Viridiplantae, Streptophyta, Magnoliopsida, Poales, Poaceae.
AGUGUAUCAUCCAAAUCCCUAAUUCUAGCCAGUUUUGCACUUUCUACAGCAGCCCUCAUCUAAAAUCCUCCUCUUAGUCUGAUUUUUGGUGAUCAGCAUCACCUUAGUGUGUGAUCAUCAGUAGACAAACUAUUUACCUUGUUACCAAGCUGGUUUAACCACAGGAAGUUACAAGCACCUUCCUGUUGAUUUACUUUGGAUCCAAGUGCAAAUCUCUUCUUUGCCCCUGGACCGAUUUAUUUCCUCAUUUUGACUAAGGGCACGACGGUCCAUCUACUGGACAUGGUUGGCCCGGCCAGAACAUGCCGCUUGCACCAGUGCCCGUGGUGAUCACGCUGGUGUCACGCACAGUGCAAGCUCUAGCUCGGUCCGGCCACUAUUCUCGUCUCCUCCCUCCUUGUCUCGACCUCCAUUCAUGUUCUGGAGCUCGCCCGUGCUCGACUGCAUCGCCCUGCGUCGCUGCUUCGUCGUGGUUCGCCAUAAAUGAGCCGCUAGCUCCAUUCCCAUGCCGCGUUCAGCCUCUGCUCGCCAUUAAAGCUCGGUCGGGAGCUCGCUCGUGAGCUCUAGAGCUCUCCCCCGCGCCUAUAUAAGGACCCCGAACCCCUCUGCAGCUCAUUCACUCCUCCCUCGCCUCUCUAGCCCACCGAAGUCCUCGGCCCCCUCCUCUUUUCGCCAGAGAUCGCCUCGGCCGCCGCGGUUCCUCCUUGGUUCCGGCUAGCUCGAGCCUCCUCCUCUCCUCUGGUGUUGUCCACUGCCUCCCCCACACUCCCACGAGUCACCCCGACCCCUUUCCCCCUCGCCGGAGUGCCUCUGGCCGCAAGCCCCGAGUUCGGCCGUCGCCUCCGCCUCUCGGCCGCUUCCUUGUCCGGCCUCCCCGAGCAUCUUCUCGCCUCUUCACCACCACCAACCGACUCCCCGUGCUCCGGCGGUCCGCCCCACCACCUCGCCCUCGCCGGAGUCGUCCCUCAUCACCGGCUACCCCCUCUGCCCGACGCCUCUGCCUCCUCUCGUCGCCGCACCUCCAUGCCUCCCCGGUGGCCGCCGCCCCUGGGGACGGACGUGGCCAUCUCCUGUUUUCCUGCUGGUGGCCUCGUCUCGGCCAACGGUGGCUGGAGCCGGCCGGGCCAUCGCCUGCUUCGCCCCUGCCUCCCGCUCCUUGUUCCUCCCGUGCCGCUCUGCGUUGACGCGCGAGGAGGAAGAAGGCAGGAGCCAGGCGGACCCCGCCUCCCCCUCGGUCCCACUCGUCAGUGCCUAGGCGUUGACCCCACCCAGGCCCAGGAACCCGUUGGUGAUAAAUUUUCACAGAUUAGUCCCCAUUCUUCCAACCUUCACAACUUUUCAACCGUAACUCCGAUUGAGCCCCCUCCGAGAGAGAACCGUCCAACGUUUCGUUCUGCGGCCUCACCGCACUUUUUCCCGGAAUCUCCAUCACCCCAGGCAAGCCACAAUACCCACUUGCAUGAUAGUCAUACAGUAGCCAUGGUUUUCAACUUGAAUAAUUAUUAAAUGUUUGCUUGUUUAAAAUAUGGUUAUCGUUGUUUCGGUAAUGCUUCUGGAUUAGUGCUUACUUUCUUGCUAUGUUGUUAUGCACCUGGUUGCCAUGCCCUGCUAGUUGUUAGUAUUCCUUUCAUAUGCUUAUGCUUGCUAGUAGUACAUGUUGAUGUUGGUGAUGGUCUUCGGUGCAUGACUACCGUCUGUCCCGAGUAUCGUUGUUAUGCAUGUUCCAUUGCAUCCCGCUGGCAAAUGCUUGCAUGAUGGCAUUGUUGAUAUGUUCUUGCAUGAUAUUUAUUGUUGAUGCUAGUGGUCAUGCUAUGUUUCGGAGAAGUAUGUACUUAUGAUGUUCAUGCUAGUCAGUAUGCCAUGCUUAGUUGGAUAUGAUUCAUUGUUGAUAUGGUGGAUAGUUAUGUGGUACCCUCAUGAUUAUGUUGAUAUCAUGCUCAUGCAUUGUAAUCGCACCAUGUUGUUUAUCAUGGCUCAACAUAUUUGCAUUCAAGUUUAACCGGAUUAAAUUCAACUUGAACAACUGUUGGCUGAGUCAUGGUGCCACCAUAUCGAACUGACCAGUGCAACCACGCUUACCUUUAUGGGAAGGUCCUAACUGGGUCUAUUGUCGUGCCUCUCGCCAGUGCCUCCAACGAGGGAAGGUUAUAGGCGUGCGGUACCUUUGCCCGGUAAGCAGACAUAACCUUGUGUGCCCGUUGUUGUUGUUAUGGAUCCGGGUCCCCAUUUGGGACCGUUUAUGUUUGGCCACGACGGUGGUCGUUGGUGUCUUUGGUAGACACGGGGCCACCCAAGACUAGCCCAGUGGGGAGUGAGUCGGAGUGGCCGGGAGAGUGUCAUGGCAGUAGAUCGGUUUUGUCGGAACGCCAUUGGUCCACCCGAAUGGGAGUGCGAGGCCAUGGGUUCCGUGGUGUGGGUACAGUGUGCUAACCUCUGCAGAGUGUAUACUAAAUCUAUGGAUAGCCAUGCCCGCGGAUAAGGGCCCAGUUCGUGUCGGUCACACUGUGAGUCAAUAGUAAUAAUAAUAAUGUGCUUAAUAACAACCCCGGUUCGAUGAUGAGAUAAGUUGGUUGUGAUCGCCGGAAAGAUCACCGUUUGAGACCAAGUGUUGGUUAGGGUUGUGAUCGCCGAAAUGAUCACCGUGGUAUCGAGGAUACCGAGUUGUUGGAUAUUCGUGAUGUUGUGCGAGAAUCAUGGGUAAAGAUCAAUCUCCUUGUGGUCAUUU